Molecule: non-coding RNA, 286 nt
Organism: Pelobates cultripes (western spadefoot toad)
Lineage: Eukaryota; Metazoa; Chordata; Amphibia; Anura; Pelobatidae
Source: the annotation of a GenBank genome assembly
CUCUAAAUGAUUGGAGUAAACAUUUAAGAGUUUUCUUUUCGUUUUUUUCUUUUCAUUUUUGUAUUCAUAUAAAUUCACCAUUUAGGGGUUACCCCCCAUUUUGUUUCUACCCAUAUUCGUGCCUCAUAUUUACAUCUAGGCUCUCCUUCUUUUUUUUUUUUUACUUAAACAUUUAAGAGUACACUAAACUGUACUCAAUAAGGUAAACAUAAUAAUAUCAAAGUAUACUGGAACUAAGUGUCAGACUCAUCCAACUGGGUUGCACUCACCUUAAUUUAAAAAAAAG